CCUCUUGCAAAAAAUUUCCUUCAUCCCUCUCCAGAAGAGGAGAAGAGGAAACACAAGAAGAAAUGCCUGGUGCAGAGCACUAAUUCCUACUUCAUGGAUGUGAAGUGCCCAGGACGCUAUAAAAUCAUCACGGUCUUUACUCAUGCACAAACAGUAGUUUUGUGUGUUGGGUGCUCUACUGUCCUCUGCCAGCCUACAGGAGGAAAAGCAAGGCUUAUGGAAGGAUGUUCCUUCAGGAGGAAGCAGCACUAA
This 252-nucleotide long non-coding RNA is filed under the name Homo sapiens (human). Its description in RNAcentral is "non-protein coding lnc-CD109-4:1". Lineage: Eukaryota; Metazoa; Chordata; Mammalia; Primates; Hominidae. The record is from RNAcentral.